CAACUGGGCAAUGGCUAUUUUCAAGGGUAGCUGGAGUCCUAAGAUAAUAGAAUUCCGUAGCCCCAUAUAAUUUUAGAAUCUUCAUCUUACAUAGGCAAAUGAGGCUCAGAGAGGGAAAGUGACUGUGAAGGUCACACAGCCAGUUAGUGGCAGAGCAACUCACACGUCCUGAUUCCUUGAACAGUAUUAUUUUCUGCUGCCCCAAGCCAAGGCCAGUGGCAGACCCUGUCUCAGGGCUUCCUGAUUUUGGGCAGCUCUGCUUUUCAGAGGACUUCUCUGGACAGGCACCCAGUGUCCAAAGAGAACCCAGGGUCAGGCAGCACAAUCCCAGGGGCUUCUCUGCAGCUGCUCUCCUCCCAGCACACAGGGAGAUACCAGCCACCGUCCCGGAGCCAUUCGGCCUGGGUCUGAAGCCCAGCAACCCGAGCUCAUUCUGAUGAAGCAAGCUGCCACGCUGUGAGCUGCACUAUGGAAAGGCCCAUGCUGCAUGGCACUGAGGAGGCUCCAGCCAGCAGCCGAUGAGGAGCUGGAUCCUGCCAGCCGCCACGUGAGUGAGCUGGGAAGCAGAUCCAACCCCAUAUCAGCACUGAGAUGGUCACAGCCCCACGGACAGCCUGCUUGCAGCCUUGUGAGGGACCUUGAGCCUGAGGACCCAGCUAAGCCACACCCAGCUUCUCAACCCAGAGAAACAGUGAGAUGAUAAACUGAGCUGGCUUUUAAGCCACUAAGUUUUGGGGUAAUUUGUGACACCGUAAUGGAUAAUUAGUACAGCCAGUAACAUAGGCAGAUAUGAGACAGUGCAAAAUAUUUUAGAUUUUAGUGGUUAUCCUUUGGGUUUUAGAGUUCUCCAGGUAGGUUCUCAACCUGGUACCCACAUGUAAUCCAUCUGAGCUUCUGGUUCUGAACCUUCCUGAUGCGUAAAAUCUAUGUAUCAUCUGAAGUUGGAUGAAAACCGAUGUUGCUUUAUUAACAUCGAGGUGGUAGGUGGGCAAUGGGAGGUUGAAAACGUCGGGGACUAACCUCAACUGACAACCUAUUGGACUCUGGCCCUUGCAGGAUAUUUUGCUGAGCGUUCAAGUAUCUCACUGAUCCUUAAGGGUAUCCAUGAAUCCUGAGAUGUGCA
RNAcentral lists this long non-coding RNA (1123 nucleotides) under Homo sapiens (human). RNAcentral describes it as "HSALNT0331123". Lineage: Eukaryota; Metazoa; Chordata; Mammalia; Primates; Hominidae. The record is from RNAcentral.